RNAcentral lists this non-coding RNA (21 nucleotides) under Caenorhabditis elegans. The record is from RNAcentral. Lineage: Eukaryota; Metazoa; Nematoda; Chromadorea; Rhabditida; Rhabditidae.
UUUUUUAGGAGUUUUACUACU